CGUAGGGUGCAAGCGUUAAUCGGAAUUACUGGGCGUAAAGCGUGCGCAGGCGGUUGGUAAGACAGAUGUGAAAUCCCCGGGCUUAACUGGGAAUUGCAUUGUGACUGCCCGGCUAGAGUUUGGCAGAGGGGGGUAGAAUUCCACGUGUAGCAGUGAAAUGCGUAGAUAUGUGGAGGAAUACCGAUGGCGAAGGCAGCCCCCUGGGUCAAGACUGACGCUCAUGCACGAAAGCGUGGGGAGCAAACAGGAUUAGAUACCCUGGUAGUCCACGCCCUAAACGAUGUCUACUAGUUGUCGGGUCUUAAUUGACUUGGUAACGCAGCUAACGCGUGAAGUAGACCGCCUGGGGAGUACGGUCGCAAGAUUA
RNAcentral lists this ribosomal RNA (367 nucleotides) under uncultured organism. RNAcentral describes it as "bacterial SSU rRNA". It matches the Rfam family "Bacterial small subunit ribosomal RNA", at positions 526 to 896 of the family's 1533-position model. The record is from RNAcentral.